AUACGGAGGAUCCGAGCGUUAUCCGGAUUUAUUGGGUUUAAAGGGUGCGCAGGCGGCCAUUUAAGUCAGCGGUUAAAUCGUGGGGCUCAACCCCAUUCUGCCGUUGAUACUGGGUGGCUUGAUUGCGGUCGAGGUUGGCGGAAUUCGUUGUGUAGCGAUGAAAUGCAUAGAUAUGACGAAGAACACCGAUUGCGUAGGCAGCUGACCAGGCCGCAAAUGACGCUCAUGCACGAAAGUGCGGGGAUCGAACAGGAUUAGAUACCCUGGUAGUCCGCACAGUAAACGAUGAAUACUUGUUUUCGGCGAUAUAAUGUCGGAGGCAAAGCGAAAGCGAUAAGUAUUCCACCUGGGGAGUACGCCGGCAACGGUGAAACUCAAAUGAAUUGGCGGGG
Molecule: ribosomal RNA, 392 nt
Filed under: uncultured bacterium
Lineage: Bacteria
Description: partial 16S ribosomal RNA
Rfam family: Bacterial small subunit ribosomal RNA
Source: RNAcentral